UAUUCAGUUUUAAAGUUUUUUUGUACUCUUACAGUUUAUGAUUGAUCUCAAUAAAGAGAACCAGUUGGAAAUAGACAUUCUAUUGACAACACUUUAUGUUAUUUCCAUGCUACAUACCUAUACUUGAUCCAUGUCUUGGUUAUAUUGAUAUACGUGAUCUAUGAUUGGUUCUAGUUACGAAUGAGUAAUGACAAGCACUUAGUUCCUAUGUUGGUAUGAUUGAUGGACCGGAUUGUUCAUGACAAUUUUAUUGUGAUAGCAAUUUUGCGCACCUAAGGUUAUUUUGUAACAUNNN
Molecule: long non-coding RNA, 295 nt
Filed under: Nicotiana benthamiana
Lineage: Eukaryota; Viridiplantae; Streptophyta; Magnoliopsida; Solanales; Solanaceae
Description: long non-coding RNA (NBEN_LNC039534)
Source: RNAcentral